UAUUACCAGUGUGUAAUUCUGCACACAGUGUUGUGGGUCAGAGGUCACGGACCAUGUGCUGUGAGUAAUGAAGUGAACUCUGAGUGUUGUGCUGCAGUUUUGGGUAAUUUCUACUGUCUGCCAAGGAGAAUUGCUCCAUAACUUGUGAUCUUUUCAGGAGAAGACAUCUGGAUAAUGUAGCAUCAAGAAAAACACUGCCACAGAAUUCCAUAGAGAUCAUCCGCCUGUGUUGUUGGGCAGACGGACUCGACUCGAGCAGACGGACUCCGGAAGGUGACUUGACUUCCUUCUCCGACCAGGGAUUGUAGGAUUGUGGUCUGUUGUCGGAAAUUGUCCUACUAAGUCAGUGAAUGUGUUAGUGUGGCCUGAGCUCGGACUGCGGACUGGACAACUGUCAGUUGCCGACGUGUGUGACGGAUCACAGGAAAUAGAUCCCAACACUAUUGGACUAUACUGCAUUACAUUCAACAGAAGGACGUGGAGAGGCUAGCUUCACACUGGCACUGGUGUGAUAGUUCUGUGGGAAAUAUAACGGGGCCACUGGAGGUGAUUUCUUUAACCUAGGAUCACAAGAGGUCUUGCUCCAGAUUGUGUUGAUCAGGGAGCUGCAAUGGUCUACAUGUUUCGGCAAACACAAGGGGAUUGGACAGUAAGGAAGGAAGGCAUUGGAGGCAGAAUGACCAUGAUCUUCCUAAGUCAUUCAAGGCUUCUGGAAAGUGGAGUUCCGGUUUCUUGAGACAUCAAAACCUAACAAUGUAAGUGGAAGACCCAUAUUGUGCUUCCAGCAGCAGAAGAAACAAAGGUCAAUUCUUUCAUCAGUUUGUGCUGUGCAAAAGAAAGAAGGCAGAGACCUAAGGUGGAUUUUUAAGCAUGAAAACACCUCCAUUUUGCACAAGCCUUGGACAGUCGACACACAGCAGAUUUUCACUUUGACAAUUUGCAUGUGUGAGUGGGAAAAGAGCACUUCACUAUGGUGUGGGAUUGUGUGGCAGAUGAAACUGAACUGUCACCAUGUUUAUCUUAAAAUGAAUGCCAUUGUAGUUCCUCAGUGGAGGUCACAGUACAGGAGAAAGCAUGGAAGGAUGAAUCCAUUGUGCACAGAGUGACAAUGUCUGGAUGAAGAGACCAGGAGAUUCAAGAGACUGUAAGUCCCUGCUUGUGUGGGACAUGUUCUGGGAUCAUUGAGAAAAGAAGUUGACAAACAGCAAGACAACCAAGGCAAUGAUCACAGAUGACUGCACACAACACCUGCAGCCAUUAGACGUCAAGAUCAUGAGGAUCAAAUGGAACAAAUGGAUGGUGAACAGCACUUCCACACAUAGACAAGGCAAGAACCAAGGAACGGUCACCUACUAGUUGUUGCCAACUGGAUGAAGGCAGCAUGAAAGGAACUACCUAAGAACAUGGCACAGCAUAGUCUAUUUUCAACUGUGGCAUUGUAAAUGUGAUGAAAAGGGUGCCAGAUGAUUGUGUGAUCAAAGAUUUGGUUAAGUCAUCCCAAGGUGAGUGACCUGCGAAUGUGUGCAUAGUGGCUGACGUCCCUGAUGGCUUCUAAGAUGAACUCAACAGCUACUAAGAUGAACUCAACAGCUACUAAGAUGAACUCAACAGCUACUAUAGUCUGUUUGCAGUGAAAACGUACCGAUGAAUUUCAAUUUAAACAAAAAAGUAAAUCGAAUAAAGUGGAAUUAUGAUUGCGAAUC
This 1703-nucleotide unclassified non-coding RNA is filed under the name Haliotis rubra (blacklip abalone). Its description in RNAcentral is "zinc finger CCCH domain-containing protein 10-like, transcript variant X10". Lineage: Eukaryota; Metazoa; Mollusca; Gastropoda; Lepetellida; Haliotidae. The record is from RNAcentral.